This 3013-nucleotide ribosomal RNA is filed under the name Salmonella enterica subsp. enterica serovar Indiana. RNAcentral's name for it is "23S ribosomal RNA". It matches the Rfam family "Bacterial large subunit ribosomal RNA". The record is from RNAcentral. Lineage: Bacteria; Pseudomonadati; Pseudomonadota; Gammaproteobacteria; Enterobacterales; Enterobacteriaceae.
GGGUUGUGAGGUUAAGCGACUAAGCGUACACGGUGGAUGCCCUGGCAGUCAGAGGCGAUGAAGGACGUGCUAAUCUGCGAUAAGCGCCGGUAAGGUGAUAUGAACCGUUAUAACCGGCGAUUUCCGAAUGGGGAAACCCAGUGUGACUCGUCACACUAUCAUUAACUGAAUCCAUAGGUUAAUGAGGCGAACCGGGGGAACUGAAACAUCUAAGUACCCCGAGGAAAAGAAAUCAACCGAGAUUCCCCCAGUAGCGGCGAGCGAACGGGGAGGAGCCCAGAGCCUGAAUCAGCAUGUGUGUUAGUGGAAGCGUCUGGAAAGGCGCGCGAUACAGGGUGACAGCCCCGUACACAAAAGCGCAUGUGCUGUGAGCUCGAUGAGUAGGGCGGGACACGUGGUAUCCUGUCUGAAUAUGGGGGGACCAUCCUCCAAGGCUAAAUACUCCUGACUGACCGAUAGUGAACCAGUACCGUGAGGGAAAGGCGAAAAGAACCCCGGCGAGGGGAGUGAAAAAGAACCUGAAACCGUGUACGUACAAGCAGUGGGAGCACAGGUUUACCUGUGUGACUGCGUACCUUUUGUAUAAUGGGUCAGCGACUUAUAUUCUGUAGCAAGGUUAACCGCAUAGGGGAGCCGCAGGGAAACCGAGUCUUAACCGGGCGUUAAGUUGCAGGGUAUAGACCCGAAACCCGGUGAUCUAGCCAUGGGCAGGUUGAAGGUUGGGUAACACUAACUGGAGGACCGAACCGACUAAUGUUGAAAAAUUAGCGGAUGACCUGUGGCUGGGGGUGAAAGGCCAAUCAAACCGGGAGAUAGCUGGUUCUCCCCGAAAGCUAUUUAGGUAGCGCCUCGUGAAUUCAUCUCCGGGGGUAGAGCACUGUUUCGGCUAGGGGGCCAUCCCGGCUUACCAACCCGAUGCAAACUGCGAAUACCGGAGAAUGUUAUCACGGGAGACACACGGCGGGUGCUAACGUCCGUCGUGAAGAGGGAAACAACCCAGACCGCCAGCUAAGGUCCCAAAGUCAUGGUUAAGUGGGAAACGAUGUGGGAAGGCCCAGACAGCCAGGAUGUUGGCUUAGAAGCAGCCAUCAUUUAAAGAAAGCGUAAUAGCUCACUGGUCGAGUCGGCCUGCGCGGAAGAUGUAACGGGGCUAAACCAUGCACCGAAGCUGCGGCAGCGAACGUAUCACCCAAGACAACUUUGCGGAGUUGACGAUUGACGGAGCGAAGCGACGUCAAAGCGUUCAUUAAAGUCGAGUUGGCUUAGGGAUACGUUCGUUGGGUAGGGGAGCGUUCUGUAAGCCUGUGAAGGUAUGCUGUGAGGCAUGCUGGAGGUAUCAGAAGUGCGAAUGCUGACAUAAGUAACGAUAAAGCGGGUGAAAAGCCCGCUCGCCGGAAGACCAAGGGUUCCUGUCCAACGUUAAUCGGGGCAGGGUGAGUCGACCCCUAAGGCGAGGCCGAAAGGCGUAGUCGAUGGGAAACGGGUUAAUAUUCCCGUACUUGGUGUUACUGCGAAGGGGGGACGGAGAAGGCUAUGUUGGCCGGGCGACGGUUGUCCCGGUUUAAGCGUGUAGGUGUGUGUUCCAGGUAAAUCCGGUUCACUUUAACACUGAGGCGUGACGACGAGGCACUACGGUGCUGAAGCAACAAAUGCCCUGCUUCCAGGAAAAGCCUCUAAGCAUCAGGUAACAUCAAAUCGUACCCCAAACCGACACAGGUGGUCAGGUAGAGAAUACCAAGGCGCUUGAGAGAACUCGGGUGAAGGAACUAGGCAAAAUGGUGCCGUAACUUCGGGAGAAGGCACGCUGACACGUAGGUGAAGUGAUUUACUCAUGGAGCUGAAGUCAGUCGAAGAUACCAGCUGGCUGCAACUGUUUAUUAAAAACACAGCACUGUGCAAACACGAAAGUGGACGUAUACGGUGUGACGCCUGCCCGGUGCCGGAAGGUUAAUUGAUGGGGUCAGCGCAAGCGAAGCUCCUGAUCGAAGCCCCGGUAAACGGCGGCCGUAACUAUAACGGUCCUAAGGUAGCGAAAUUCCUUGUCGGGUAAGUUCCGACCUGCACGAAUGGCGUAAUGAUGGCCAGGCUGUCUCCACCCGAGACUCAGUGAAAUUGAACUCGCUGUGAAGAUGCAGUGUACCCGCGGCAAGACGGAAAGACCCCGUGAACCUUUACUAUAGCUUGACACUGAACAUUGAGCCUUGAUGUGUAGGAUAGGUGGGAGGCUUUGAAGUGUGGACGCCAGUCUGCAUGGAGCCGACCUUGAAAUACCACCCUUUAAUGUUUGAUGUUCUAACGUGGACCCGUAAUCCGGGUUGCGGACAGUGUCUGGUGGGUAGUUUGACUGGGGCGGUCUCCUCCUAAAGAGUAACGGAGGAGCACGAAGGUUGGCUAAUCCUGGUCGGACAUCAGGAGGUUAGUGCAAUGGCAUAAGCCAGCUUGACUGCGAGCGUGACGGCGCGAGCAGGUGCGAAAGCAGGUCAUAGUGAUCCGGUGGUUCUGAAUGGAAGGGCCAUCGCUCAACGGAUAAAAGGUACUCCGGGGAUAACAGGCUGAUACCGCCCAAGAGUUCAUAUCGACGGCGGUGUUUGGCACCUCGAUGUCGGCUCAUCACAUCCUGGGGCUGAAGUAGGUCCCAAGGGUAUGGCUGUUCGCCAUUUAAAGUGGUACGCGAGCUGGGUUUAGAACGUCGUGAGACAGUUCGGUCCCUAUCUGCCGUGGGCGCUGGAGAACUGAGGGGGGCUGCUCCUAGUACGAGAGGACCGGAGUGGACGCAUCACUGGUGUUCGGGUUGUCAUGCCAAUGGCACUGCCCGGUAGCUAAAUGCGGAAGAGAUAAGUGCUGAAAGCAUCUAAGCACGAAACUUGCCCCGAGAUGAGUUCUCCCUGAGACUUUAGGUCUCCUGAAGGAACGUUGAAGACGACGACGUUGAUAGGCCGGGUGUGUAAGCGCAGCGAUGCGUUGAGCUAACCGGUACUAAUGAACCGUGAGGCUUAACCUUACAACGCCGAAG